AUUUUCUUUGUUUUAAUCGCGUUUACAGAAAUGAUAAGCGUUUCGACGUUUCGGAGCCGCGGUCAUUAUUUUGCCGGCCCACCUGAUCCUCGUGGGACUGUUCGGGAAGCGUUCCGCCAUACUGAUCUAAACCGGAUGUCAUCUCGGCUGGCGAUUAUUCUUUCCAAGAUGUUGGUUUGACGUUCUUCAAUUCACGAGUUUCUUGAAGAUCAACGGUUGUUUCGUG
Long non-coding RNA from Megachile rotundata (alfalfa leafcutting bee), 226 nucleotides. The record is from RefSeq and is a predicted model, not a curated record. NCBI's taxonomy places the organism in Eukaryota, Metazoa, Arthropoda, Insecta, Hymenoptera, Megachilidae.